This is a small nucleolar RNA of Malania oleifera, 106 nucleotides long. Lineage: Eukaryota; Viridiplantae; Streptophyta; Magnoliopsida; Santalales; Ximeniaceae. The record is from RefSeq and is a predicted model, not a curated record.
ACCUGGUGAUGUGGACAUUUACGAAGCAGGUCCCUAAAGUGCUCUCAAGUUUUGAAAAAGAUUUCCUCGUCCAUCUGUGAGAAACUUGUGAUGGCUUUCCGAGGUU